CCCAGUUUCAUUCGAACUCUAAGGAGCGGAUGGUUGGGUUGUGAAUGCUUCGACGUCAAGCCAGCAUAGGAGUUGAUAUGCCCUUAAGCAUCUUCCACUCUUUGUAAUUCUCAAAAACCAUAGUUGAGGGCAAGAAAAGUAAGGAGUGGUACUACUUAACUCUCCGGGGCUCCCACUCAUCUUUCGUACUGGACAUGUCCUAUUUGUUAAGAAGUGGAGGAAGUUGGUUUUUGGACCUCUAGGAGAUAAAAUACCAUGGGGAACGAUCUAAUUGGCACCUUUGACAAUUCCAACAGCCUAUUUUACUACAAGUUAGUUCUUCGAUCUAACUGGUUUAACUUGAAUAGAUUUCUUUUCGUUUAAUAUGUUGCUCAUUUUAUAUGUUCUUUGCUGAGGUGUCAAAUAGUUGCAGAUUAGUAGGACAUCAUUAAUUACAUUUAAUAGCUUCUCUUAAAGAAUUGGAGCUAUGAUGAGCUAAUUAACAAAAAUACACGCUUCACUCUAAACAGACUGAUGAUGUCUUGGGGUAAGUUUAUUUGCAAUGCCACUACAUUCAUUAUUCGAUGUGUCCAUGCUUAAAAAAUUUCGUUUCAAAUAUUUUUUAAAGAAGACACCAGUGAGGCCACAUUUUGCUACAAUCCACCAAAGCUUGGUAGAGGUGAGAGCCUUGAAAACUACAUCUAUGUCUUGUAAGAAUUAGGCUGAGAAGUUAACUCAAUUGAGUAAGAGGCAACUGCCUGUCGGGAAGGAAGAUGAAGUAGAUGGAGGAGGAUGAUUCGUUGAUAAAGAAAAUAAAUUGGGCCUAUCUGGGGCAUCGUUUUCAAUGCUUUCAAUGGGUAGACUUCAACCUCCUUUUCCUAUCCCUACCGGGUUGGCCAUAGUAGGACCCUAUCUAGAGGUGCCAUCGAGAGUGAUAACAAGGAAGAAAACUCUUCUUCCCUCUUCCAUUGAAGAUAGAAACGAGCUUUCAGCUCCACCUCAUUAAAUGGGAAAAAGGCCAACCAUCCUUCUUGUAGUAAAAAGGUAGUAGAUUUUCUAGGGAGCAAGGAGGAUGAGCUUUCUGAAACACAACCUGGAGAUGCUCCUCCUUGAGAAUACUUUAGUUGCUUGGUUCAAUAACAAAUUCUGGACCGACGAGUGGCAAUAUCACGUCGUCUCUGGAGAGGUUAAAGAUUUGCUCACUGCCAACAAUUCAUGCAUGGCCUGCGCGCUUUGUAUAAGCGUGACAGUGGAGGACUUAGUUCGGAGCCUCCGUAAAAUGAAUGAUGAACUAAGCUUUAGGCUAGAGGCUUCGGGGAGCUUGAAGGAGGAAGUGAAAAGGACGAGGGUCGAGGCACAAAAGGCUAAGAUGAAGAGGACUGAGGUGGAAGUUAAGUUAGUUGUUGAGAUACAAGUAAAUCAAUUGAAAAAGGUGCUUCAUUAAUCAGUUUCUCAAUUAGCUAUUCUAACGAAGUGGAUUGACCAGUCCAAUGAACAUCAACGGAUCGCCUCUGGUACUUUACUGGAGGUAAAUAAAGAGAAAGCCAAACUGAGGAUGCUGACGGAUGCCUAGAAAGAAGAUAUAGAAUCUCUGAAGGCUGAAGUGUAGACAGUAAGCGAGGCGUCAGUGAAGAACAUAUCGACAACUUCGAAUAAAAGAACGAAUAGGAUGACUUCGCCAAUUGUUGGGCUUCAUGGAAUGCCCAACAAAUGCUAGCUUAUCUAAGGAAAGUUCGUCCAGAGCUGGACGCUGGCUUCCUUAAAGUAGACUUUGGUGGGCCUACUGAACCUAAUAUUGAGGCCACUGAAGAGGCAAAUACUGAAAAAGAGGAAGAUGGGGC
This 1820-nucleotide long non-coding RNA is filed under the name Olea europaea subsp. europaea. Lineage: Eukaryota; Viridiplantae; Streptophyta; Magnoliopsida; Lamiales; Oleaceae. The record is from RNAcentral.